This 254-nucleotide ribosomal RNA is filed under the name uncultured bacterium. Its description in RNAcentral is "partial 16S ribosomal RNA". It matches the Rfam family "Bacterial small subunit ribosomal RNA", at positions 524 to 776 of the family's 1533-position model. The record is from RNAcentral.
UACAGAGGUCUCAAGCGUUGUUCGGAUUCAUUGGGCGUAAAGGGUGCGUAGGCGGCGCGGUAAGUCGGGUGUGAAAUCUUGGAGCUUAACUCCGAAACUGCAUUCGAAACUGCCGUGACUCGAGUCCGGUAGGGGAGUGUGGAAUUCCCGGUGUAGCGGUGAAAUGCGCAGAUAUCGGGAGGAACACCAGUAGCGAAGGCGGCACUCUGGGCCGGUACUGACGCUGAGGAGCGAAAGCAUGGGGAGCGAACAGG